RNAcentral lists this ribosomal RNA (355 nucleotides) under uncultured Glomus. RNAcentral's name for it is "SSU rRNA". It matches the Rfam family "Eukaryotic small subunit ribosomal RNA", at positions 569 to 929 of the family's 1831-position model. Lineage: Eukaryota; Fungi; Glomeromycota; Glomeromycetes; Glomerales; Glomeraceae. The record is from RNAcentral.
AGCAGCCUCCGUAAUUCCAGCUCCAAUAGCGUAUAUUAAAGUUGUUGCAGUUAAAAAGCUCGUAGUUGAAUUUCGGGAUCAAUUUAUCGGUCGUGCAAUAGUACGUACUGAUUUUAUUGAUUCCUCCCUUCUGAUGAACUAUGAUGUCACUAAUUUGGUGUCAUAGGGAAUCAGGACUGUUACUUUGAAAAAACUAGAGUGUUUAAAGCAGGCUCACGCUUGAAUACAUUAGCAUGGAAUAACGAAAUAGGACGUUUGAUUCUAUUUUGUUGGUUUCUAGGAUCGACGUAAUGAUUAAUAGGGAUAGUUGGGGGCAUUAGUAUUCAAUUGUCAGAGGUGAAAUUCUUGGAUUUAU